GAAAAUAUAAAAGGGCGUAAAUGUUACGGCUUGCAUUGUUUUAUGUUGUUUAGAGUCAAAAUGACGCGACCGUUUACUAUGAGGGGAUUUGGCAGCGUCUACUUUGGAGCGAGGGCUCAGUUUACUAAGUGGAAUUGACAUGGCUGCCGCCAAAAUUGGAGCGAGUCCUUAGGAAACAUAGUGAAAAUGACGCGGCUACAUUAAAUCUGAAUUUGACCCUGGACUGAUGCAGAGCUAUUACCACUAUUGCCAGGAUCGUGGAUGGCUGUCAUACUGACACAGAGGCUUUAUUGUGAGUACUCUUCUGAACAGAUAGUGAAAAUGGGCAUAUGUGGGCCCCUGUGAUUAUCUAAAAUGCUGUAUGGAAUGCUGGCCAUGAUGGCGUGAACAACCC
This is a non-coding RNA of Pelobates cultripes (western spadefoot toad), 394 nucleotides long. The record is from the annotation of a GenBank genome assembly. NCBI's taxonomy places the organism in Eukaryota, Metazoa, Chordata, Amphibia, Anura, Pelobatidae.